Marmota monax (woodchuck) is the source of this 1037-nucleotide long non-coding RNA. RefSeq lists it as uncharacterized. The transcript is spliced from 4 exons. NCBI's taxonomy places the organism in Eukaryota, Metazoa, Chordata, Mammalia, Rodentia, Sciuridae. The record is from RefSeq and is a predicted model, not a curated record.
AGUUACUAAAUGGGGGACAGCUAAGUUCCAGCGGAAUCGACUGGAGCGCCACCCGUUUCCUUUGCGAAUUCAAAAGCGGGAACCCACUCAACCUAACAGUCCGGAGGUGGCCAAGGCGCCACCUGCCGGCGGAGGAAGAGGAGGCCGGCGAGUACCGGCCUCUUGGGCUGGGUGACCCCGCUCCUUCCCGGACCCCUGAGGCGGAGACUUCGGAUCCGAGGAGGCUCCACAUCCCUGGGUGGCCGGAAGGUCGCAGCCUGGGCUCUGUCCCAAAGACUGGACGGAGUGGCCCCGCUGGUGUUGCGGAGAGGUCGACAGGAAAGGCAGGGGACCCAGACGCACGGCCUCGGCAACCCAAGGAACUGCUCCCCAACACAAAGCCGCGGCAGCGCAGCAUCAGAAAAUGGACAAAGACGAUGCCUGUGCAUGUCUGCUGGUCACGGUCCUGGUCACAUUCCUGUCUACUGAAUGAAUGAAGGGGUGGCUUCAUUCUCACGGAGCAGUCCUUCCUUACCCCAUGGAGAACUCAACUGCACAGGGGAGGCCUGACAGCCUCCAGCCAGGAGGAGCCAUGCACAGGCCUGGGAAACGGCCUAAGCCAAGGUCAGAUUGUCGUGGCUCAGCCUUCGGGAUCCAGGAGCAAAAGGCACGUUCCAGGCCUGAGGAGCUCGGCGUGGAGACGGGGAGACAGACGAGCAGUCCCACAGGUGCCAGCACUGGGACACCUGCCCAGACGGAUCCCUGCCCCAGCCAGUGGACGCAGAGGCACUGACCAUUCAGAGGCUCUUCCAGAAGCCCUCACUGGGAGGAUUAAAGGCAGAUCUGGAAGGUCAGCAGAGCCCGUGAGGAGGGUGUGGGUCCCUGAGAGUCCCCAGGAUUUGCUCACAGUCCAAGCCCCAUGUCCAACCCGGGGCCAGCAGCCUCACGUGGCUCUCCAGCCUUGGACACGUGGCCGGUCCUCAGUGAGGAGCCCUGUACACGCAGCACUUCUGCUAGAUUUUGAAGUAUUCGUUCAAAACUCCCCUUUUUAAUGUAAA